RNAcentral lists this ribosomal RNA (491 nucleotides) under uncultured bacterium. RNAcentral's name for it is "partial 16S ribosomal RNA". It matches the Rfam family "Bacterial small subunit ribosomal RNA", at positions 29 to 506 of the family's 1533-position model. The record is from RNAcentral.
AGUGAACGCUGGCGGUAGGCCUAACACAUGCAAGUCGAACGGCAGCACAGUAAGAGCUUGCUCUUACGGGUGGCGAGUGGCGGACGGGUGAGGAAUACAUCGGAAUCUAUUUUUUCGUGGGGGAUAACGUAGGGAAACUUACGCUCAUACCGCAUACGACCUACGGGUGAAAGCAGGGGAUCUUCGGACCUUGCGCGAUUGAAUGCGCCGAUGUGGGAUUAGCUAGUUGGCGGGGUAAAGGCCCACCAAGGCGACGAUCCGUAGCUGGUCUGAGAGGAUGAUCAGCCACACUGAAAGUGAGAGACGAUACAGACACCUAGGGGAGGCAGAAGUGGGGAAUGUUGGAAAAAGGGGGCAAGACUGAUCAAGGCAUACCGCGUGGGUGAAGAAGGCCUGCGGGUGGUAAAACCCUUUUGUUGGGAAAGAAAAGCAGCAGGUUAAAACCACGCUGUUCGAACGGAACCCAAAGAAUAAGCACCGGCUAACUUGGU